UACAGAGGUGGCAAGCGUUGUUCGGAAUUACUGGGCGUAAAGGGCGAGUAGGCGGCCUUCUAAGUCAGACGUGAAAUCCCCCGGCUUAACCUGGGAACUGCGUCUGAUACUGGGUGGCUUGAAUCCGGGAGAGGGAUGCGGAAUUCCAGGUGUAGCGGUGAAAUGCGUAGAUAUCUGGAGGAACACCGGUGGCGAAGGCGGCAUCCUGGACCGGCAUUGACGCUGAGGCGCGAAAGCCAGGGGAGCAAACGGG
Molecule: ribosomal RNA, 253 nt
Filed under: uncultured bacterium
Lineage: Bacteria
Description: partial 16S ribosomal RNA
Rfam family: Bacterial small subunit ribosomal RNA
Source: RNAcentral